GUUAGCUGCGAUGGGCGUUUCCGCAUUCCGUGUUAAACUCCUCGUGAGCUCAGGAGGCAGGAAAGCGGAUUGUUCCUGAAGUAGCUUCCACGGACCCGAGCCAAAGACCAUCCCAGGGGAUCGCACUUCGCACGCCUACAAGUCCAGGAUGCCUUAUAUUCUCAUCAGCACUCAGAUCCGUCUGGAGACUGGACCCACAAUAGUAGGAGAUGAGCAUUCAGAUCCAGUCAUAAUGAACUACCUGGGAGCCAGAAAGACAACGAUGCUGGGUAACAACUUCUCAGAAUACCACGUGGACGAAGCGCCUCGGGUUGUUCUGGACAAGCUAGAGAACAUUGGGUUCCGUCUGGUGACCAUGACCGGCGUGGGCCAGACGCUGGUGUGGUGUCUGCACAGAGACACAGUCAGCCAGGACUGACCUCAGGGAAAAACGUUGUGGGGAAUCACUGUCAUUAACACGACAGCUGUGCUCAGAAGCAACAGCGAAUCCAGACAAGGUGCUGAGGUGGCAGCGGCUGAUGGAGAGGAUGCACUUCCUGUGUGGAGUGUUGCUGCCUUGAUGCGUCUUUCAUGCAAGCAAGGAAUAAGGUCAAGCAUCGUGCACUAAGGGCCAGUGUGUAAAUCCAUCCAUCCAUCCAUCCAUCCAUAACCACUUAUCCUAUUCAGGAUCAGGGGGAUCCAGAACCUAUGGGUUACCUUGGGACUUGUUCUGGGUCUUGUCAGUGCCCCUACAUCCACAGAAACCCCCAGCCUCGUCCUUGCUGUUACUCGCCCCCACCAUGGCACACAGCCCCUCCCAGGACACAAAGGGCUCACACUCGCUCACCAUCUCGCCGCUCAGACACUGACACCCGCAAUGCCGCUUUACUCUCUCCUUCAACGGCAAAGUAAUUUCUGAAAAUACAGCAAGCAAUACAAAAUGGAGUCUCAAGUACCCAGGUCAGUUUGCUCAUUCUCCUGAAGUGGAUGUGUUUCUACUGAGCAUUUGAGUCUUCCGUGUAAAGGUUCACGGACUACACGUGAUAUUUUGAGUGUCAGUUCCAUGUAAUUAAAGAUUGACUUAAUUUUCCACAGGAAGUCAUUGCUGGAAAUGGAUUUGAUGCUUCCCACUUCUAAAUCUGUAUCUGAUGGAAUUUAGUGGCUAGAUGCCAUCACUGAUAUAUUACGCUUUAAUUUUGAAUUGUUGUUGGGUUUACCCCAACUUUGAGUGUUAUUUCAGAUACUGUAUUCUAGCCUAAUUUCAGAUGGGGGCUACAUGUUGCAUCAUACUUAUGGUAACGGAUGUUUUUUCAAAAUACUGAUAGAAAAACCUUCAAUACACGUGCAAUGUAGUUACAACACAAAUAUUUGCAUAAUUUCUAAAAUGUAAUACGUCAUGUUAUCCUGGUACCUUUCAACCUCAGAGUCACUGUUAUGCUGUCAUCACGUUCCAAUCAGUGCAAGGUAUUCUUGGGUCCCAAUUACAGAGGAAACAUGCAUUCUGAUCCAUAAGCCAUCCUGGCCCAUCCUCCAGGCAGUUUCGCAUCAGUCGGUCAUGUGUUACCUAACCCGUGACCCAUUUCCCAGCGGUGUGACCUUCCUGAUACCUGCCUGGUGCCCAGAGUGAGCCCUUACACAACACAGUACAGCAAGAUGGCAACUCUCAAGAAAUAAUAAUCAACACAACCUAAAGGGAUCUUUCAUGUCAGACACAUAUGAACUACAUCUUUCCUGUUCCAGUGAAAUCCAUUGAUGAAAAUGAAUAAAUCACCCGACCAGCUCUGGAACAAGUUAAGGACCAGUUAUUGUGAGGCAGUACCAUACCCACCCAUUACACAGCUGAUCCAAGGUGACUUUUUGAUGGCUUCAUCCCAGGUACAGCUUUCUGUCUGGGACCGAUGACAAUUUCCAAACUGUGUGUGGCAGCAGGAUGCGAAUCCCUCCAAAGCUCGGAGAACUCCCUAAGCUGGGACGAAGUGGCAGCUUGUGUGAAUGACCGAGCAGGGUAAGCAUCGGAGCUCCUUGUACGUCGGACAGCCAGGAUGAAGCCCAGAAAUCAUCAUUACAAUGCAGCGUGAAUAGUCCUACCCUGACAGCAUCACAGGCGGCUUACAGCCUCCUCCGUGCGACAGAGAAGCUUGUGUGCUUUGCAUAAAUCUUACUUUUGAAGGUACUGGACUAAGCGGCAUGUUCCAAAGCCACAGCGGGCGGCACAAGCAGGCCUCGUUACCAGCACCGGAAGCUUGUGCCAGGCUAAUGGCACUUUGGAGCACGUUCCUCAGGCUCUGGAACCCUUAUUGGGGCCCGUUAUUCUGCAUCGGUCAAGAUGCAGAAGGUAAUUAUAAGCUACCCGCCAACAUUUAAGGAGACCUUUAAGUCGUCUUGAUGUGAGUUGAUGUGCAUUGAACCAUAGCCUUUUGACGCCAAUGAUAGUUAUUUUAAUGACAUGAACAGAAGCCCAAUUCUAGACAGACAGCACAAGUUACUUUGUACCACCCAACAUUUGCUCACAUCAUGCUGAAAUACAUUUAUUAACGUAUACAAUCUUGUUUACAGAUGCACAACCUGGUCAAGAGCCAGUAUGUGGAAGCACUUUAACUAGAGCAGGAAUGCCGAGAAAAUGUAUUAUGUCCUUGGUUUCUGAAAGACCUGGACUGGCCACAAAACUAAGCGCAGCCCAAGAAAUAGACCGGCUCCCACAUACAUAAUCACUAACUAUUCUUUCUGCAGCCUCUACUACCCACUAACCAAAAAGAGAAGAGAGAACAUUGAGAGGGUCCUUUGGCUGGAUAAAUGUUAUGACAUGUCAAUUGUUU
RNA transcript from Brienomyrus brachyistius, 2795 nucleotides. It is a transcript of the gene named GTP cyclohydrolase I feedback regulator, with no coding region annotated. NCBI's taxonomy places the organism in Eukaryota, Metazoa, Chordata, Actinopteri, Osteoglossiformes, Mormyridae. The transcript has 6 exons. The record is from RefSeq and is a predicted model, not a curated record.